GGAGAGUUCCCAUCUGGAGGGGAGCAUUGUUAAAGGCACACUGGUGCCAGAGAGUGCAAUGAUAAGGGCUUCAAAAGAGAUCAAUGGGACCUUCCAAAGUCAGACAAUGAACACAAAGACCAUUUACAAUGGAAACCAUUUGACGUGAACCUCCUCUCCCCAAGUCUCACCUUUCUCCAAUUUGGGACCCAAGUACACCAAAGACUAUGAAGCCACAUCAAUCACCUUUUGAAGAAACAAAAUCCAAUUGCAUCGCUUUAUACUUUUUGCUGUCUCUUUGGGAAGUCAGCAGCAUGUUAGAAGAAAGGUUGACUUUGACUUAAUGCAAUUCUAGAAAUGAGUGACGUCCAAGAGCCUCAGUCUUCAACUGCCCAUCUCAGAUCUUGCAAACUCAUUGGAAUUUAACGUAAGCUACGUCAUUAAUUCUUGCUUCAUCAUAACCCCAUAUUUUCAAAAAUUAGACACAUAUAUUUUGUUUUUAGUUUAAUUGUCAGCAUUCAUGGAAGAGUGACAGAUCCAGAUGAGAAUGAUGAAUGAACACAGUAGCACCAGCAUUUUUUUUAUUUUUCCCCCUUAGCUGUGCUCACCAUGUCACUGCUUGUUAUGCCAUAUAAUUAACAUUUUAAUAAUGUCAGCCUUUGAAGUUCCAAGCAGGUUUUAGGGAAAUGUUUCUUUCCAGAUCUAGAGCUGACAAACAAGGGAGGUCAUUUUAGAUUAGCAGGCAGCAGCUCUGGUGGUAGAAAACAAGACGAGUCCUGUUUAAGAUGAUUUCAAGGCAAUAUUUAAAUGGAAUCCCUUUGAGAUGGCUUUGUGAUUGUGGCCACCUUCUAUCCAUUAACAUGAUUCACUGUGGUUUAUGCUGAGGCAGUUUUGAAGAGAAAUCAAUCCUGAUGAGAAUU
RNAcentral lists this long non-coding RNA (899 nucleotides) under Anolis carolinensis (green anole). RNAcentral's name for it is "lncRNA (ENSACAG00000042457.1)". Lineage: Eukaryota; Metazoa; Chordata; Lepidosauria; Squamata; Anolidae. The record is from RNAcentral.